GCGCAGCAGUCGAGAAUCCUUUACAAUGUCUUCACGGACGAUAGGGGAAUCCUGAGUGCUCUAGCAUUGCUAGAGCUUUUGCUUACUGAAAAAAGGUAGGCGAAUAAGUGGUGGGUAAGACGGGUGCCAGCCGCCGCGGUAAUACCCGCGCCACAAGUGGUGACCACGUUUAUUGGGUCUAAAGCGUUCGUAGCCGGCCUGAUAAAUUCUCGGUGAAAUCCUGUGUAAAUCAUAGGGCGUGCCGGGAAGACUGUCAAGCUAGGAACCGGGAGAGGCUGAGGGUACUCCAGGAGUAGGGGUUAAAUGCCGUUAUGGUUUAACCCUACGGUUAACGUAAUACCUCGUAAGUUACUUUGGUA
RNAcentral lists this ribosomal RNA (359 nucleotides) under uncultured microorganism. RNAcentral describes it as "bacterial SSU rRNA". It matches the Rfam family "Archaeal small subunit ribosomal RNA", at positions 330 to 682 of the family's 1478-position model. The record is from RNAcentral.